RNAcentral lists this unclassified non-coding RNA (222 nucleotides) under Actinia tenebrosa (Australian red waratah sea anemone). Its description in RNAcentral is "neuropeptide FF receptor 2-like, transcript variant X4". Lineage: Eukaryota; Metazoa; Cnidaria; Anthozoa; Actiniaria; Actiniidae. The record is from RNAcentral.
UGAAAAUAACGACAAGUAAUAUUCUUAAAGAGCUAAGUUUAAUUUAUAAUCGUCAAACACUUUAAGGAGCAUUUAAGUAAGAACUGGAGAUUUAGUCACGAAAGGAAAUUAAAUAACCUGCAAGAAGUCCACCAAACAAGGCAGUAAAUAAGCUGGCUCCUUUGCCGACAAGAAAAAUUGGAAAAAAACAACAACAACAACAACAGCUAUUCUUCAGUAAAA